GUUGAUUGGUUCUUAACCGUCCCUACUCUGAAAUUAAGUCUGCAUAGAAAACAUAUGAACUAUUGGCAUAACAUCCUUAUGAUCAGAAUUCUUCACAGAGUAUGAGGAGCCAAGUAGCAAAGGAAGUUAUGGUGUUGUUGGUUAUGUUGAUACUCACACAGGUGAAAAGGAUGCAGUUAAGAAGAUAAAUGAUGCUUCGGACACGUCAAUGAUGCCGCUCGGGUUCUUUGAGAAAUCAAGCUUCUUCGCUUGCACAAGCAUCCUGAUAUUGUACAAAUCACACAUAUCAUGCUUCUUCCUCCUCCUAGAAGUGUUUUUAAGGAUAUUUGUGUUGUUUUUUGAGUUGAUGGAAUGUGAUCUUAAGUUUGACUAUAUUCAAGAUGUUUUUUGAGUUGA
Helianthus annuus (common sunflower) is the source of this 396-nucleotide long non-coding RNA. RefSeq lists it as uncharacterized. The record is from RefSeq and is a predicted model, not a curated record. The transcript is spliced from 2 exons. Lineage: Eukaryota; Viridiplantae; Streptophyta; Magnoliopsida; Asterales; Asteraceae.